AAAGAAAGUAAUAAAUAAUAUUAUAUAACGCUCACCAAUACACUAAACAUAUAUAGAAUAUUAAAUACGUAUUUAGAAUAUUCGGAUUGGUACGAAUGAACUGUCAUGCGCAUGUACGCAUCUCGCUAUUUUGCACGCCAGUGCACGACUGCACGCGUCUGCACGCGCAACGCCGCAACAUGAUGAUGUGCGCGAGUUAUAUUAAAAGCAAGAGAGGAAGAAACACUAUUUGAGCGUAAAGUAGAAGAGUAGACGAGUAAGGAAAGAAAGAUGUAAAAGAGAGAUCAACCUCACAGCUUGGAAUUUACAGUGUGCCGAACAGAAUAUGUGGACCUUGAAGGUAUCAAAUAACAUAAUUUUACUAAAAAAGUUAUAGGAUGAAGUGAACAAUUUAUUUUUUGUGUGAGAAAGUAUCUAUUACAAUCUAACUUGUUCCGAGAAAACCUUUACAAAAGAUUUAAUAAAGAACAAGCAAUUUGAUGAGAUUAUCAUAUCAUUAUUAUCAUAUUUAUUAUUCGAAUUUUAAAGAGAAACAGUAAGAAAUUUUAUUAAUACAUUAUUAAAAAAUUGUUGGCUGUUACACCAAAAUUCUCUUUCUUGUAAGCUGAUGUAUGCUAUUGAUAAAAAAUUCACCAAAGUUCAUCCCUGUUUUAGCUCAGCGAACCAUUAUAUGUAUAGAGAAUUGACAGAGCAAUUCAUAUCAAAAGGAUUAUCUAAAGGUGUACUUCCUAGUUCUUCAAGUAUGUUAUUUUAUGGCAUUAUCUUAUGGCAGGCUAGGUAAGAGAAUAAUGACAAAUGUUAUAAUUUUAUUUUAAUAUUGUAUCGCAACUGUGUGGCUCUUAAAGGUAUCGUACAACUAUCUUUUUUAGAUAGUUGUUACUGAAAUAAAUAAAAAGCGUGAAAUCUGAUCUGAAACAAUUACAACAAAGUAUACAGACUAAUAUCACUCAACUAACCUGCCGAUGAUGUGGUCGCAGGCUGUAAUAUAGGAAAUAUGUUUAUGAAUGUCAAGGAUCAUCUAAUAAUUUAAGAAUGACCAGUGGAUGUGCGUAUGAUUAUCUGGAAAUGUGCACAAAAGUGGAACUUGAGAAGGAACAUUUUAUUCCCAUCUCUAAUUUGCUGGGUUUUAUUCUAAAAACAUAUAAUGGCUAUAAUUUAU
Molecule: long non-coding RNA, 1159 nt
Organism: Monomorium pharaonis (pharaoh ant)
Lineage: Eukaryota; Metazoa; Arthropoda; Insecta; Hymenoptera; Formicidae
Exons: 3
Source: RefSeq, a predicted model, not a curated record